RNAcentral lists this ribosomal RNA (1343 nucleotides) under uncultured bacterium. RNAcentral describes it as "16S ribosomal RNA". It matches the Rfam family "Bacterial small subunit ribosomal RNA", at positions 28 to 1378 of the family's 1533-position model. The record is from RNAcentral.
GACGAACGCUGGCGGCGUGCUUAACACAUGCAAGUCGAACGGAAAGGCCCUGCUUUUGUGGGGUGCUCGAGUGGCGAACGGGUGAGUAACACGUGAGUAACCUGCCCUUGACUUUGGGAUAACUUCAGGAAACUGGGGCUAAUACCGGAUAGGAGCUCCUGCUGCAUGGUGGGGGUUGGAAAGUUUCGGCGGUUGGGGAUGGGCUCGCGGCUUAUCAGCUUGUUGGUGGGGUAGUGGCUUACCAAGGCUUUGACGGGUAGCCGGCCUGAGAGGGUGACCGGCCACAUUGGGACUGAGAUACGGCCCAGACUCCUACGGGAGGCAGCAGUGGGGAAUAUUGCACAAUGGGCGGAAGCCUGAUGCAGCAACGCCGCGUGCGGGAUGACGGCCUUCGGGUUGUAAACCGCUUUCGCCUGUGACGAAGCGUGAGUGACGGUAAUGGGUAAAGAAGCACCGGCUAACUACGUGCCAGCAGCCGCGGUGAUACGUAGGGUGCGAGCGUUGUCCGGAUUUAUUGGGCGUAAAGGGCUCGUAGGUGGUUGAUCGCGUCGGAAGUGUAAUCUUGGGGCUUAACCCUGAGCGUGCUUUCGAUACGGGUUGACUUGAGGAAGGUAGGGGAGAAUGGAAUUCCUGGUGGAGCGGUGGAAUGCGCAGAUAUCAGGAGGAACACCAGUGGCGAAGGCGGUUCUCUGGGCCUUUCCUGACGCUGAGGAGCGAAAGCGUGGGGAGCGAACAGGCUUAGAUACCCUGGUAGUCCACGCUGUAAACGGUGGGUACUAGGUGUGGGGUCCAUUCCACGGGUUCCGUGCCGUAGCUAACGCUUUAAGUACCCCGCCUGGGGAGUACGGCCGCAAGGCUAAAACUCAAAGGAAUUGACGGGGCCCCGCACAAGCGGCGGAGCAUGCGGAUUAAUUCGAUGCAACGCGUAGAACCUUACCUGGGUUUGACAUGGAUCGGGAGUGCUCAGAGAUGGGUGUGCCUCUUUUGGGGUCGGUUCACAGGUGGUGCAUGGCUGUCGUCAGCUCGUGUCGUGAGAUGUUGGGUUAAGUCCCGCAACGAGCGCAACCCUUGUUCACUGUUGCCAGCACGUUAUGGUGGGGACUCAGUGGAGACCGCCGGGGUCAACUCGGAGGAAGGUGGGGAUGACGUCAAGUCAUCAUGCCCCUUAUGUCCAGGGCUUCACGCAUGCUACAAUGGCUGGUACAGAGAGUGGCGAGCCUGUGAGGGUGAGCGAAUCUCGGAAAGCCGGUCUCAGUUCGGAUUGGGGUCUGCAACUCGACCUCAUGAAGUCGGAGUCGCUAAUAAUCGCAGAUCAGCAACGCUGCGGUGAAUACGUUCCCGGG